This 265-nucleotide non-coding RNA is filed under the name Sus scrofa (pig). RNAcentral's name for it is "bip internal ribosome entry site (IRES)". It matches the Rfam family "bip internal ribosome entry site (IRES)". Rfam says of the family: This family represents the bip internal ribosome entry site (IRES). BiP protein expression has been found to be significantly enhanced by the heat shock response due to IRES-dependent translation. The record is from Rfam by way of RNAcentral. Lineage: Eukaryota; Metazoa; Chordata; Mammalia; Artiodactyla; Suidae.
CGCUGGCCAAGACAUCACAGACGCAUCGAGUUGGCUUUCCGUGUGUGUGAGAGGUAAGUGCCGCGGCCUGCCUUUCCAGACCUGCCAAUUGCCUUGUCCCCUCUCCUCCUGAUUUCGGGCCCUAUUGUCCUCAGCUCGGUAACGUUGGUGCGCUCCGGUGGUGCGGCUUGUGAUCGGUUUGCUUGCGAAGCCCUGCCUGCUGACUGACUGACUGGCCGACGGCGCCCGCAAGAUGAAGCUGUCCCUGGUGGCUGCAGUGCUGCUG